AUCUUUUAGCUUUGCCUAUUGGCUUAGAUCAAGUGUAGUAUCUGGUAAGCGUAACGAAAUCAGACAAACUCUUCAACUGACUAACUCAUACAGUUCUUUUCAGUUUAAUCUCUGAAAGUCCUCUACGGAGGACACAUUGAUUAUACUUAUUUUUGAAAAUAGUCUGUGAAUCUCCGGGCUUGCCUACGUUCGCGGACAAUGUGUCAUCGGUAUAACACUGCCUCCGAUCGACGCGAACCCUU
This 242-nucleotide small nuclear RNA is filed under the name Blumeria graminis f. sp. tritici. RNAcentral's name for it is "U2 spliceosomal RNA". It matches the Rfam family "U2 spliceosomal RNA". Rfam says of the family: U2 is a small nuclear RNA (snRNA) component of the spliceosome (involved in pre-mRNA splicing). Complementary binding between U2 snRNA (in an area lying towards the 5' end but 3' to hairpin I) and the branchpoint sequence (BPS) of the intron results the bulging out of an unpaired adenosine, on the BPS, which initiates a nucleophilic attack at the intronic 5' splice site, thus starting the first of two transesterification reactions that mediate splicing. Lineage: Eukaryota; Fungi; Ascomycota; Leotiomycetes; Helotiales; Erysiphaceae. The record is from Rfam by way of RNAcentral. RNAcentral also lists the same sequence under 1 other name.